GGGCGCGCGUGCUGGGUGCUGCCCAGCAACCAAAGGCCAUGCGGGGCUCGUCCCUCAGAUGCCGGUGACCUUGACUGAAGUCACCUGCCUUCUCUAGCUUCCAGUCCUUUAAAACGAGGGUUUGGACCCGGUGCCUUCUGAAGCCGGUGCUUCACUGAACUCCCGAGGGCGAUCCAAACUGCCUAAGCAUCCCGAGUCGAGCACCCGCGCCUGCGUUCCUGAGUCAUCCAGCGCCCUGCAGCGUUUUUCAUGCACAUGGUCCGAAUAUAUCAGACUGCAGAGAGAGGCUGUAUUGUAACUGGCCAGCUUAUAAUACUCUAAAUAAUAAUAUAAAAGGUAGUUUUAUAUUUAACAAAUAUUGCUCACUGACAGUGUGCCCGGAACCAAAGCCUAUUGUUUCAUUGAAUGUACACACCCUUGGGACUGGAAUGAGUAGAAAACAUUGUUAUUCCUGUUUUACAGAUGGAGAAACUGAGACUCUUGACUAUCAGUAAGUGGCUAAGUCAGAAUUUAAAUCAGGUUUUGUCUGAUAUCAAAUCCAGUUGGAUUUUCUACUCUAAUCGGUUUUUCUCAUUAAACUUCAGACUUAACGUUUCCCAUCA
Molecule: non-coding RNA, 602 nt
Organism: Macaca mulatta (Rhesus monkey)
Lineage: Eukaryota; Metazoa; Chordata; Mammalia; Primates; Cercopithecidae
Source: RefSeq, a predicted model, not a curated record